UGAUCCAAUGAAUGUUCGUUCAUUGAGCAUGUCUUGCGCAUGCGCUGUGCCAAGUCGCUCCACCCAACAUAGGGGGCAGCACUGACAACAGCCUCACUUGACUCUGCCCAAUAACACAGUAGAAUAUGACAUGUGCGCCAUGUGCUCUGGCCUCUGAUCAUCCCUAGAAACGUGACCGAGACCUCGCCAUCCCACUGCCAAGCUUCUCCACGAUGAAAGGCUUCACUGAGUGCCGCACUGGAUUUAUCUACAUGAAGGCAAUAUGUGAUCAAAUUGCUGAUGAUUUUCCUUGGAGACCCUGUUAAUGAAAUAAGAAUCAGCAAGAAUGCAGUGUGGUGGAGGAAACAAUGGCAGUUGUCACAAGUUGUUGCUGGUUGCUAUGUAACUACUUGCAUAUCGCUGUAUUCAGUGAUGUUCACAUUUAUGCACUGUUAAUAAAAAGUAAAAUAAUUCAAUGUGUUGUGAAAUUAUUAAGAUUAUAGGACCACUAUAAAAUAAAAGUUCAAAUAGAUUGUA
Boleophthalmus pectinirostris (great blue-spotted mudskipper) is the source of this 516-nucleotide long non-coding RNA. RefSeq lists it as uncharacterized. NCBI's taxonomy places the organism in Eukaryota, Metazoa, Chordata, Actinopteri, Gobiiformes, Gobiidae. The transcript has 3 exons. The record is from RefSeq and is a predicted model, not a curated record.